RNAcentral lists this ribosomal RNA (474 nucleotides) under uncultured bacterium. RNAcentral's name for it is "bacterial SSU rRNA". It matches the Rfam family "Bacterial small subunit ribosomal RNA", at positions 8 to 474 of the family's 1533-position model. The record is from RNAcentral.
AGAGUUUGAUCAUGGCUCAGAUUGAACGCUGGCGGCAUGCUUAAUACAUGCAAGUCGAACGGUAACAGAUUCUUCGGAAUGCUGACGAGUGGCGGACGGGUGAGUAAUACAUAGGAAUCUGCCCAUGUAGUGGGGGACAACUUGGGGAAACUCAAGCUAAUACCGCAUAAUUCCUACGGGAUAAAGAGGGCCACUGCUUGCAAGCUCUUGUUACUGGAUGAGCCUAUGUCGGAUUAGUUAGUUGGUAAGGUAAUGGCUUCCCAAGACAGCGAUCCGUAGCUGGUUUGAGAGGAUGAUCAGCCACACUGGGACUGAGACACGGCCCAGACUCCUACGGGAGGCAGCAGUAGGGAGUAUUGGACAAUGGGCGCAAGCCUGAUCCAGCAAUGCCGCGUGUGUGAAGAAGGCCUGCGGGUUGUAAAGCACUUUCAAUUGGGAAGAAAGAUUAUGAGUUAAUACCUUAUAAUAUUGACG